GUCUACGGCCAUGCUACCCUGAACAAACCCAAUCCCGUCUGACCUUGGAAGCUAAUCAGGGUUGGGCCUGGUUAGUACUUGGAUGGGAAACACCUAAGAAGACCAGAUGCAGUAGGUG
This 118-nucleotide ribosomal RNA is filed under the name Pteropus vampyrus (large flying fox). Lineage: Eukaryota; Metazoa; Chordata; Mammalia; Chiroptera; Pteropodidae. The record is from RNAcentral.